UACGUAGGGGGCAAGCGUUGUCCGGAUUUACUGGGCGUAAAGAGCGUGUAGGCGGCCACGCAGGUCCGUUGUGAAAACUGGAGGCUCAACCUCCAGCUGUCGACGGAAACCGUAUGGCUAGAGUCCGGAAGAGGAGAGUGGAAUUCCUGGUGUAGCGGUGAAAUGCGCAGAUAUCAGGAGGAACACCGAUGGCGAAGGCAGGUCUCUGGGCCACUACUGACGCUGAGACGCGAAAGCGUGGGGAGCGAACAGG
Molecule: ribosomal RNA, 253 nt
Filed under: uncultured bacterium
Lineage: Bacteria
Description: partial 16S ribosomal RNA
Rfam family: Bacterial small subunit ribosomal RNA
Source: RNAcentral